Molecule: transfer RNA, 72 nt
Filed under: Abditibacteriaceae bacterium
Lineage: Bacteria; Pseudomonadati; Abditibacteriota; Abditibacteriia; Abditibacteriales; Abditibacteriaceae
Description: Abitibacteriaceae bacterium (rhizosphere metagenome) tRNA-Ala
Rfam family: tRNA
About the family: Transfer RNA (tRNA) molecules are approximately 80 nucleotides in length. Their secondary structure includes four short double-helical elements and three loops (D, anti-codon, and T loops). Further hydrogen bonds mediate the characteristic L-shaped molecular structure. tRNAs have two regions of fundamental functional importance: the anti-codon, which is responsible for specific mRNA codon recognition, and the 3' end, to which the tRNAs corresponding amino acid is attached (by aminoacyl-tRNA synthetases). tRNAs cope with the degeneracy of the genetic code in two manners: having more than one tRNA (with a specific anti-codon) for a particular amino acid; and 'wobble' base-pairing, i.e. permitting non-standard base-pairing at the 3rd anti-codon position.
Source: RNAcentral
GGGGCUAUAGCUCAGUGGGAGAGCGCCUGCUUUGCAAGCAGGAUGUCCUCGGUUCGAAUCCGAGUAGCUCCA